UAUUAUAUGUCAGAUUUUAAUGAAAUGAAUUUAAAAUUCAUUUAUGAUUUUUUUUUAAUUUAUUUUUUAAUUU
RNAcentral lists this transfer RNA (73 nucleotides) under Orseolia oryzae (Asian rice gall midge). RNAcentral's name for it is "tRNA-Leu". The record is from RNAcentral. Lineage: Eukaryota; Metazoa; Arthropoda; Insecta; Diptera; Cecidomyiidae.